GUCAACUGAGUAAUAAUCAACAAAUAUAGAACAGAACAUUUGUCAAACAAUCAACACCCCAGGCAUCCCUGACUUCAUUCACUGAUAUUCAAUUUCAAACAUUACAAGCACACUGAUGAUUAGGACAUAAAGAUUCACUCAUAGCAGAUACCAGCAAAACAGAGCUUAAAAUUUCUCCAAAUUCAUAAAUUUUAUCCAAGCCCACACAUAAUAUGAGGACAUAACCCCGAGCAGUCAACAAUAUUGUAAAAACCAAUCUCAAAUUGUUAGCCACUGAAAUGCUGCAAGGUAAUCAAUCCAUCAGCUACCACUUUAAAAUAUCAAAUUUAAAACAACAACAGUCUGAAGGCAUGCAACCACCUUUAAAAUGCUGCAAGGUAAUCAAUCCAUCAACUACCACUUCAUAUUUUACAUAUACGCAUACCAAAGGCUAACUAGUGCUAGUAC
This 447-nucleotide long non-coding RNA is filed under the name Citrus sinensis (sweet orange). RNAcentral describes it as "long non-coding RNA (CSIN_LNC002686)". Lineage: Eukaryota; Viridiplantae; Streptophyta; Magnoliopsida; Sapindales; Rutaceae. The record is from RNAcentral.